UUAGAUACAACAUAUUAGUGCAGA
Molecule: non-coding RNA, 24 nt
Filed under: Arabidopsis thaliana (thale cress)
Lineage: Eukaryota; Viridiplantae; Streptophyta; Magnoliopsida; Brassicales; Brassicaceae
Source: RNAcentral